Molecule: transfer RNA, 72 nt
Filed under: Fukomys damarensis (Damara mole-rat)
Lineage: Eukaryota; Metazoa; Chordata; Mammalia; Rodentia; Bathyergidae
Rfam family: tRNA
About the family: Transfer RNA (tRNA) molecules are approximately 80 nucleotides in length. Their secondary structure includes four short double-helical elements and three loops (D, anti-codon, and T loops). Further hydrogen bonds mediate the characteristic L-shaped molecular structure. tRNAs have two regions of fundamental functional importance: the anti-codon, which is responsible for specific mRNA codon recognition, and the 3' end, to which the tRNAs corresponding amino acid is attached (by aminoacyl-tRNA synthetases). tRNAs cope with the degeneracy of the genetic code in two manners: having more than one tRNA (with a specific anti-codon) for a particular amino acid; and 'wobble' base-pairing, i.e. permitting non-standard base-pairing at the 3rd anti-codon position.
Source: Rfam by way of RNAcentral
AGAGAUGUUGCUCAGUGGUAGAGUACUUGCCUAGCAUGCAAGAAGUGCUGGGCUCAGUCCCCAGCACCACAA